AGAUUGAACGCUAGCGGCAUGCCUAACACAUGCAAGUCGAACGGUAACAGGCCCUCGGGUGGCUGACGAGUGGCGGACGGGUGGAGUAAGGCGAUCGGAAGUACUGCCCUCGAUGUGGGGGAGUAACGUAGGGAAACUUACGCUAAUACCGCAUACGACCGAGAGGUGAAAGCGGGGACCGAAGGACCUCGCGCAGCAGGAUGAGCCGAUGUCCGAUUAGCUGGUUGGUGGGGUAAACGGCCGUACCAAGCGACGAUCGGUAGCUGGUCUGAGAGGGAUGAUCAGCCACACUGGGACUGAGACACGGCCCAGGACUCCUACGGGAGGCGAGC
This 332-nucleotide ribosomal RNA is filed under the name uncultured prokaryote. RNAcentral describes it as "bacterial SSU rRNA". It matches the Rfam family "Bacterial small subunit ribosomal RNA", at positions 26 to 352 of the family's 1533-position model. The record is from RNAcentral.